This is a non-coding RNA of Oribacterium sp. oral taxon 078, 73 nucleotides long. The record is from Rfam. NCBI's taxonomy places the organism in Bacteria, Bacillati, Bacillota, Clostridia, Lachnospirales, Lachnospiraceae.
GGGGCAUUAGCGCAGCUGGGAGCGCGUCUCCAUGGCAUGGAGGAGGUCACGGGUUCGAAUCCCGUAUGCUCCA